CGAACGAGAGGAGCGCUUUUAAAGCUUAGUGGCGGACGGGUGAGUAACGCGUGAGCACCUGCCUCUCAGAGGGGAAUAACGUUUUGAAAAGAACGCUAAUACCGCAUAACACCGCAUGAUCAAAGGAGCAAUCCGCUGAGAGAUGGGCUCGCGUCCGAUUAGUUAGUUGGUGAGGUAACGGCUCACCAAGACUACGAUCGGUAGCCGGACUGAGAGGUUGAUCGGCCACAUUGGGACUGAGACACGGCCCAGACUCCUACGGGAGGCAGCAGUGGGGGAUAUUGCGCAAUGGGGGAAACCCUGACGCAGCAACGCCGCGUGAAGGAAGAAGGUCUUCGGAUUGUAAACUUCUUUUGUCAGGGACAAAUGACGGUACCUGACGAAUAAGCUCCGGCUAACUACGUGCCAGCAGCCGCGGUAAUACGUAGGGAGCGAGCGUUGUCCGGAUUUACUGGGUGUAAAGGGUGCGUAGGCGGCCGAGCAAGUCAGUUGUGAAAACUAUGGGCUUAACCCAUAACGUGCAAUUGAAACUGUCCGGCUUGAGUGAAGUAGAGGUAGGCGGAAUUCCCGGUGUAGCGGUGAAAUGCGUAGAGAUCGGGAGGAACACCAGUGGCGAAGGCGGCCUACUGGGCUUUAACUGACGCUGAGGCACGAAAGCAUGGGUAGCAAACAGGA
RNAcentral lists this ribosomal RNA (675 nucleotides) under uncultured bacterium. RNAcentral's name for it is "bacterial SSU rRNA". It matches the Rfam family "Bacterial small subunit ribosomal RNA", at positions 63 to 777 of the family's 1533-position model. The record is from RNAcentral.